Petromyzon marinus (sea lamprey) is the source of this 1406-nucleotide non-coding RNA. The record is from RefSeq and is a predicted model, not a curated record. Lineage: Eukaryota; Metazoa; Chordata; Hyperoartia; Petromyzontiformes; Petromyzontidae.
ACUACUACAAAGGCUACUACUACUACAAAGGCUACUACUACCAACUUUCCGGAUGACCUUGGAUCCUCCAACCGUCUGACCCCUGGCUUGGCAAAAGGAUUAAUCGGCCUGCUCGCAAUCACCACGGUUCUGUUCUCGUCUUCACUGUGGCAGUAGCCCAUGCCACCCAGGAAGCAACCACUGCAAAGCCUCAACCCAAGAUCGCGAUGGACGUACAUGAUACACAGAUGUCACGUGUAUUGAAAUGAUUGAGCAGUAAUUGCACACAUUUUAAGCAUUACAAACAUAGCUUCUUAUUCAAUACAUUAACCUUCACGUAGGGAGGUAAAUUGAUUUUCUGAUCUUAAGGACGGAUGUACAGUCAGUCAUUAGUUUGUGGAAGCUUCGCUCCAGAUCCUCGCUUCGAGCUGAAUUUAUCAAAUGGACUCAUUGAAGUUGAAAAGUAAUUUUGCUUUUAAAUCUUGAGAUUUUCAGUUCAGAAUUUUUUAAAUGAAAUCCAUAUUAAAUAUUUAAUGCAUCUUAAUCUUAGUUUAACACAUACCAUUUCAAAACUCCAUAUUAUUCAAGUGCUGUUUUCUGGGGUUUGCUUCGUGUUGAGAAUUUCCCCUCUCAAGCUUUCGUCACACACAGCUGCGGGUAACUUGAGCAGUUUAAAUUAUGUUUUGUUUUCAACUGAAAUGUUCAACACGCAGACGAACCCAGGAAUCCGCGUUUGGAUAUCUUAACGUUGCUUCAUUGCAGGAGAUAACUAACAGAUGAUGUUCGCAGUAAUUAACAAGAUCUGUAUUUAAUAGUUAACGACCAACUCGCACGUCCUUUGGAUGCGACCGUCUGCUCGUCGCUCCCAGCCAGCCAGCAAAACGUUUACUCUUAUAUCGAGCCCUUUCUCUCCACCUUUCUUGUGCCUUCUCUGCAAUGUAUAUCGCAAUUUAUCUCAAUUUCUGACUUUGCCUUUGUUUAUUUCUCUGUCUCCCCUUCUGCCCUCUCCCUCCCUCUGCAUUGCUCUCUUUCCUAACACUGUAUCCCGCACCACUUCCCACCUAUCCCUGAUUUUCGCACCCCUCAUCCUCACUUUCUUUGUUCCCACCUCUCCCUUACCCGUCUCGUCCUCUCUUGCCUCUCCUUGAUCCUCCCACCUACUGAUGAGCGCUUUCCGUCGCUCUCCUCUGUCCGUUUUUCCCUUUGCACUCCGCACUCUUCCUCUCCAAUGCACGCCCUUUCACUCUCUGCUAACUCUCUCAGUUGCUCCCCGGUUCUUUCUUUCUCCCUCCCUCCCUCUGCCUUCCUAAUUUCCCUCCACUCUCUGCUUCGUCGCAUUUGCACAGGAAAGCCACCGGAAUGAAAACUCAUUUCUUUAGAACUGCUUUUUUUGUAUUUUUCGAUUUAAAGCUUUCGUGACUGCAAGG